AUGAGAUUUAAUAGAAAUGCUACAGCUCUCCGCCCUGGAAUUUUCGCCAUACGAUAUGUGCUCAAAGCAACGAGAAAUCCUCGCGAAGAAGCUAAAACCCAGCAAAAUACCGACGAAGACCCUACUGAAGAGCAUGCAAUCCUGCAAGCUCCUAUCGAAGGACACAAAGACGGUGAUAUUGACAGCACACAAACACAAAGCAUGUCUCCUCAAUCAUCAGAAAAGGACACAGAACAGACCAUGAGGAACAAACCACCUGCGGCAGAAAUGGUACCUUACACAAGGCUCAAUGGGAGUAAACACCUAGCAAUAAGCAAAAAAAAGAGAAAAUCAGAUACCAGCACUGUUUUUACUCCUGGAGCAAAAAGGCAAAAGAAAAAGGAAAAUGCUGAAAACAUCGUCAACACCGGUACCUUGCAGCAUCAGCCAUUACCUCAAAUGGUACUCCCGCCAACAGAACCAACCGGCAUGAAGAAACAAGCUGAACGCAAGAAGAAAAACAAACGACAAAGGGUAGAAAAAGAACAAGAAGAUACCAACAGCAAAGGUUCAGAUACCAAUGACGACGACGAUGACAGACAGCAUGAUGCAGAUUUCAUUCCUACAGACGACGAUGAUGCUGAAGAGCACGAUAGCGACGCAGAACAUGACGACGAUCCCAUAUCAGGCAAGAAGGACAGAAAGAGAAGAAAGACAAGUGGGAAAGAACUGGUACUAUCAACAGUUGACGAAGAACAGCGAGAAAUAGACGAAGAGAAAUGCCAAAUCAAGGCAGGGGCAGCAUUCGCCCAUGUCAAGAAAGCAUGGAAUUUACUUAAAGACCGUCACAAGAAAGAUAUUAGGACGGCAGGAUUUGGCAGCAUAGAGAACUGCAAAAUUACGGGCUCCAUCUGCAGACCGCUUGCAGCACACAUCUACGACAACCUCAACACAGAAACCAUGACAAUAACCUUCGGUGAUGCUACUGAAGACAAAAAAAUCAAGAUUACCAAGGAAGCUACCCAUAAGGUGUUUGGAUACCCAAACGGCACGCAAAGGUCAGCACCAAGGCCAGAGACUAGCCCAGCUUCAAUAAAAGAACUGAUGUCAGAGAUUGGCUUCAAAGAUACAAAAUUCGCGCCAAAACAACUGUUCGAGAAGCUACAAAUAUUGGUGGAAAUAGAUGAUGAAGAGUCAAACAGGAAAUUAGUUAAAAUAUUUUUCCUUAUUUUUUUCCACAAUGUUGUCUGCGGGUCAAGCGCCGCUAUCUUCGCCCGGAUAGCUAUAAUGGUCAAGGACAUGGACUAUACAGAAAUGGAAAAGAUGGAUUUCUGCAAGCUAAUCGUCGAAUGUAUUAGGCAACGAGCCAAGACAUGGCAGAAGCACAGGGUGUUGCCUCAGGAGGAAAAGAACAAAAAGCACAUCAAUGGUUUGACACAGGUACCAGUAAUCAUGUACCUUGACUCCCUGCUGCUGCCAACCGACACAAAACAAAUGCGGAAGAUUGCAAAGACAAUGGACAAAACCUCAUUACCACGAGCAAACCAUCUCAAAGAGAGUGACCUAGCGAAAAUAGCUAAAGCAGACAUGAAAACGGACGGAAAAGCACGACCAGAUGACUAUGAAUUUGGCAAGAUAAAUAUAGCAGGAGAACAUCGUAAAGAAUAG
RNAcentral lists this ribosomal RNA (1647 nucleotides) under Triticum aestivum (bread wheat). RNAcentral describes it as "partial small subunit ribosomal RNA". Lineage: Eukaryota; Viridiplantae; Streptophyta; Magnoliopsida; Poales; Poaceae. The record is from RNAcentral.